RNAcentral lists this ribosomal RNA (558 nucleotides) under Fusarium fujikuroi. Its description in RNAcentral is "eukaryotic LSU rRNA". The stretch from base 190 to 343 matches the Rfam family "5.8S ribosomal RNA". The record is from RNAcentral. Lineage: Eukaryota; Fungi; Ascomycota; Sordariomycetes; Hypocreales; Nectriaceae.
GUAACAAGGUCUCCGUUGGUGAACCAGCGGAGGGAUCAUUACCGAGUUUACAACUCCCAAACCCCUGUGAACAUACCAAUUGUUGCCUCGGCGGAUCAGCCCGCUCCCGGUAAAACGGGACGGCCCGCCAGAGGACCCCUAAACUCUGUUUCUAUAUGUAACUUCUGAGUAAAACCAUAAAUAAAUCAAAACUUUCAACAACGGAUCUCUUGGUUCUGGCAUCGAUGAAGAACGCAGCAAAAUGCGAUAAGUAAUGUGAAUUGCAGAAUUCAGUGAAUCAUCGAAUCUUUGAACGCACAUUGCGCCCGCCAGUAUUCUGGCGGGCAUGCCUGUUCGAGCGUCAUUUCAACCCUCAAGCCCCCGGGUUUGGUGUUGGGGAUCGGCGAGCCCUUGCGGCAAGCCGGCCCCGAAAUCUAGUGGCGGUCUCGCUGCAGCUUCCAUUGCGUAGUAGUAAAACCCUCGCAACUGGUACGCGGCGCGGCCAAGCCGUUAAACCCCCAACUUCUGAAUGUUGACCUCGGAUCAGGUAGGAAUACCCGCUGAACUUAAGCAUAUCAA